GUACCUUCGAAAAUUAAUUAAACAUCUCUUAAUUAAAAACAGUAUACCCCAUAAUAUACGUGCGAAGGUGAAAUUUUGACUCCCUUUAGUAUUGGGCCUAUGCGAGAAGCGUAUAGGUCCAUUAU
RNAcentral lists this small RNA (125 nucleotides) under Staphylococcus carnosus subsp. carnosus TM300. RNAcentral's name for it is "RNA Staph. aureus H". It matches the Rfam family "RNA Staph. aureus H". The record is from Rfam by way of RNAcentral. Lineage: Bacteria; Bacillati; Bacillota; Bacilli; Caryophanales; Staphylococcaceae.